Molecule: ribosomal RNA, 484 nt
Filed under: uncultured bacterium
Lineage: Bacteria
Description: partial 16S ribosomal RNA
Rfam family: Bacterial small subunit ribosomal RNA
Source: RNAcentral
AUUGAACGCUGGCGGCAUGCUUUACACAUGCAAGUCGAACGGCAGCGCGGGCUUCGGCCUGGCGGCGAGUGGCGAACGGGUGAGUAAUACAUCUGAACGUGCCCAGUAGUGGGGGAUAGCUCGUCGAAAGCCGGAUUAAUACCGCAUACGACCUGAGGGUGAAAGCGGGGGAUCUUCGGACCUCGCGCUAUUGGAGCGGCCGAUGGCAGAUUAGCUAGUUGGUGGGGUAAAGGCCUACCAAGGCGACGAUCUGUAGCUGGUCUGAGAGGACGACCAGCCACACUGGGACUGAGACACGGCCCAGACUCCUACGGGAGGCAGCAGUGGGGAAUUUUGGACAAUGGGCGAAAGCCUGAUCCAGCAAUGCCGCGUGUGUGAUGAAGGCCUUCGGGUUGUAAAGCACUUUUGGCGGGAACGAAAAGGACUGUGCCAAUACCACGGUUCGAUGACGGUACCCGCAGAAUAAGCACCGGCUAACUACGUG